UCUGUGUGACAAAACGUUUAG
Molecule: non-coding RNA, 21 nt
Filed under: Caenorhabditis elegans
Lineage: Eukaryota; Metazoa; Nematoda; Chromadorea; Rhabditida; Rhabditidae
Source: RNAcentral